GACGAACGCUGGCGGCGUGCCUAAUACAUGCAAGUUGAGCGAUGAAGAUUGGUGCUUGCACCAAUUUGAAGAGCAGCGAACGGGUGAGUAACGCGUGGGGAAUCUGCCUUUGAGCGGGGGACAACAUUUGGAAACGAAUGCUAAUACCGCAUAACAACUUUAAACAUAAGUUUUAAGUUUGAAAGAUGCAAUUGCAUCACUCAAAGAUGAUCCCGCGUUGUAUUAGCUAGUUGGUGAGGUAAAGGCUCACCAAGGCGAUGAUACAUAGCCGACCUGAGAGGGUGGUCGGCCACAUUGGGACUGAGACACGGCCCAAACUCCUACGGGAGGCAGCAGUAGGGAAUCUUCGGCAAUGGACGAAAGUCUGACCGAGCAACGCCGCGUGAGUGAAGAAGGUUUUCGGAUCGUAAAACUCUGUUGGUAGAGAAGAACGUUGGUGAGAGUGGAAAGCUCAUCAAGUGACGGUAACUACCCAGAAAGCGACGGCUAACUACGUG
RNAcentral lists this ribosomal RNA (497 nucleotides) under uncultured bacterium. Its description in RNAcentral is "partial 16S ribosomal RNA". It matches the Rfam family "Bacterial small subunit ribosomal RNA", at positions 28 to 507 of the family's 1533-position model. The record is from RNAcentral.